CUGAAUUUUGGUCACAGAAAGUUGUAACAGUGAAAAACGGACCUAAGUCACUUUUUUCAGUGCCGUUGUAACUUUGAACCGCCGCUAAAUGAACUGUUGUAAGUCG
Notechis scutatus (mainland tiger snake) is the source of this 106-nucleotide non-coding RNA. The record is from RefSeq and is a predicted model, not a curated record. Lineage: Eukaryota; Metazoa; Chordata; Lepidosauria; Squamata; Elapidae.